Molecule: long non-coding RNA, 420 nt
Organism: Drosophila subpulchrella
Lineage: Eukaryota; Metazoa; Arthropoda; Insecta; Diptera; Drosophilidae
Exons: 3
Source: RefSeq, a predicted model, not a curated record
GUUAAGAAAGAAAAGAUCUAUCGAUCUAGGUAGGUUUGGGACACAUCCGAGGCCUAUUAAUGUUUCAAAAAUGCAUUUGAAAAAUCGUGUCCCCACAAUUUUGUUAACUGCUCCCCUCACAGAGGUUGUGCCAAUAUGCACGAAAAAUAUAAAAAUUCCCUAGUUGCUAUUGUGGAGUUACCAUACUGCCGAAUAGAAUCCCCGUUACUUUGAAUGAGAAGCUCGUGCAGAGAAGUAAAGUGAAAGGAAAAUAAAAGCUAAAAUUUAUAAUAAAACUAAAAACAUAGAUACAUCAUGUCGCAAAAGGAAGUCAAGGAUUCCACAAUAGCAACUAGGGAAUUUUUAUUAUUAUUAUUAUUAUUAUUAUUAUUAUUAUUAUUAUUAUUUUUCUAAAAUCAAUAAAAUGUUAAAUUCUACCAA